AAGGAACACUCUGCUGCUCAGGCCCCCAACUGAUAAGUGAUUGAGACUGUCUGUGAAUCAUGGAUACUUGGACAUGCUGAGCCUGGGGAAGAAUCACCCUGGACUGAUGCCCGAACCGAAUAGGCCUGGUCCAGCUGGCCUUUCCAGGUCUCAAGUACAAACCGAUGGCAAGGAUCUCUCUGGACACCACAGGGAUGUGGAGGCGAGAGUGAAGUCUUGGAGCACACAGAUGAUACUUCAAGUCCUGAUUCUGCCACUUGCUCAGUGGGUGACCUUGGAGAUGGAAUUUCACCAUGUUGCCCAGGCUGGUCUCGAACUCCUGAGCUCAAGUGAUCUGCCUGCCCGCCUCAGCCUCCCAAAGUGCUAGGAUUACAGAUGAAUGGAAAAAAUGAUGGGUGCAGUCUAAAUAUCAGCCGGAUUAUGGUAAAUUUCAGCUCGCUGCAGGAAAAUUUUAUGGAGACAAAGAAAAAGAUAAAGGCCUCCAAACCAGUGAAUAUGCCAAGUUUUAUGCCUUCUCAACCAGGCUGAAGCAUUCAGCAAUGAGAAUGAGAGCUUGGUGUUUCAGUUUUCAGUAAAACACGAGCAAAGUAUCGAUUGUGGUGGCGGAUAUGUAAAACUCUUUCCUGCCACCCUGAACCAGGAGGAUAUGCACUCAGGAUCCGAGUAUUACAUCAUGUUUGGCCCUGACAUUUGUGGCUUUGGCAACAACAAAGUACAGGUCAUCCUUCAUUAUCGAGGGAAAUACCAUGAGAACAAGACCAUCAAGUGCAGGGCUGGGGACAGAGUGGGCCAGACAUGGCCUUUGACUUCACAGAACUCACAGUCAAUGAAGGUAAGAGUCAAGCAAAGUGACUACCUAGUAUGAUGGGCAUCUGUGGGAGCACAGAAGAGGACCCCUACCCAACCUGGAGGCUUAGGAAAUACUUCUUAGAUCAAUAAAGACACUCACCUGUACACUCUGAUUAUUUGCCCCAACGCUACUUAUGCGGUUAAAAUUGACAACCGGCAGGUGGCAGCUGGGGAUCUGGAGGAGGACUGGGACUUCUUGCCUCCCAGGAAAAUAAAAGACCCUAUGCCCAGAAACCAAAGAAAUGGGAUGAACGCCUGCACGUAGAGGAUCUGGAAGACAAGAAACCUGAGAUCAGAGGGCAUUUGGCUGGGAAGCAGGUGGGAUCUCAGCUGUGGAGAUAGGAGAAGGAGGCUGGGAAUGAUGGAGCAGAGACUGGGGACAUCAAUCCCUCAAGGUGUUCAGCUAGAUAUUGUUUUCCAGAGAGGCAUGGAGGGAAGAGGGCAGCCAUUUACCUUUGUUGGGGAUCCAGCAGCCUCUGUGAACAAUGUGUUAUGAUACCUCUUUUGUGGAUAAGGAAACUGAUGUUUAGAAAAUGAAGUAACUUGCCCAAGCAUAUAUGUGUUGGAACCAAGAUUUGAACCUACAUCUUUUUGACUCUUAAGUUAUCAAUAUGGGGAAUGUGUGGAGUAUACUCACUGGCUCAUUAUUAUACUCAUUGGCUCAUUAUUAUUAUUCUGGAAAGCUGUACUGGAUAUAGCUAUGAAUAGAACAACACUUGCCCUCUAGGGAUUCUGAAUAUAGUAAGGGAGGCAGAUAAGAAAACAAAGAUCAAAAUAUGUGAUCGGUGCUGAGAGCCAGGGAGGCAAGCCAGUGAGAUCCCAAAAGCGGAUCUCAGCCCAGCCUGAGUUGAGGUGUAGACAGUCGUCUGAGAAAGAGAAGGAAAUGCUUGAGUGAGUGAGUUAACCUAGGAGUUGGAAACAUAAACUCUGGGGUCAGGCUGAUACAGGUUUGAGCACCACCUUUUUCUAACUAUGGGUCCCCAUCCUACUAGCAGUUAACUCUGCACAAGGAACAUAACUGCUGUGAAAGUCAACUUCACAAAUAGGGAUUAUUUUAAUACUUAUGUGUGAAGGUUACUGUGAAGAUUAAAUGAGCUAAUAAAAAAUACAU
Molecule: small RNA, 1960 nt
Filed under: Pongo abelii (Sumatran orangutan)
Lineage: Eukaryota; Metazoa; Chordata; Mammalia; Primates; Hominidae
Description: processed transcript
Source: RNAcentral